This 253-nucleotide ribosomal RNA is filed under the name uncultured bacterium. RNAcentral's name for it is "partial 16S ribosomal RNA". It matches the Rfam family "Bacterial small subunit ribosomal RNA", at positions 524 to 776 of the family's 1533-position model. The record is from RNAcentral.
UACAUGGGGUGCAAACGUUGCUCGGAAUUAUUGGGCGUAAAGCGCGCGUAGGCGGUUAUCUAAGUCGGAUGUGAAAGCCCUUGGCUUAACUGAGGAAGUGCACCCGAAACUGGAUAGCUAGAGUACGAAAGAGGGUCGCGGAAUUCCCGGUGUAGAGGUGAAAUUCGUAGAUAUCGGGAGGAACACCGGUGGCGAAGGCGGCGACCUGGGUCGAGACUGACGCUGAGGCGCGAAAGCGUGGGGAGCAAACAGG